RNAcentral lists this ribosomal RNA (810 nucleotides) under uncultured Alphaproteobacteria bacterium. RNAcentral's name for it is "bacterial SSU rRNA". It matches the Rfam family "Bacterial small subunit ribosomal RNA", at positions 56 to 914 of the family's 1533-position model. Lineage: Bacteria; Pseudomonadati; Pseudomonadota; Alphaproteobacteria. The record is from RNAcentral.
UGCAAGUCGAACGAAGUAGCAAUACUUAGUGGCAGACGGGUGAGUAACAUGUAGGUAUCUGCCCUUUGGCCUGGAAUAACACGAGGAAACUUGUGCUAAUACCGGAUAAGUCUUCACGGAGAAAGCUUUAUGCACCAUUGGAUGAGCCUGCACUUGAUUAGUUUGUUGGUGGGGUAAUGGCCUACCAAGACUGUGAUCAAUAGCUGAUUUGAGAGGAUGAUCAGCCACAUUGGGACUGAGACACGGCCCAAACUCCUACGGGAGGCAGCAGUGGGGAAUCUUGCACAAUGGAGGAAACUCUGAUGCAGCGAUGCCGCGUGAGUGAAGAAGGCCUUUGGGUUGUAAAGCUCUUUCGUCGGGGAAGAAAAUGACUGUACCCGAAUAAGAAGGUCCGGCUAACUUCGUGCCAGCAGCCGCGGUAAUACGAAGGGACCUAGCGUAGUUCGGAAUUACUGGGCUUAAAGAGUUCGUAGGUGGUUGAAAAAGUUGGUGGUGAAAUCCCAGAGCUUAACUCUGGAACUGCCAUCAAAACUUUUCAGCUAGAGUAUGAUAGAGGAAAGUAGAAUUUCUAGUGUAGAGGUGAAAUUCGUAGAUAUUAGAAAGAAUACCAAUUGCGAAGGCAGCUUUCUGGAUCAUUACUGACACUGAGGAACGAAAGCAUGGGUAGCGAAGAGGAUUAGAUACCCUCGUAGUCCAUGCCGUAAACGAUGUGUGUUAGACGUUGGAAAUUUAUUUUCAGUGUCGCAGGGAAACCGAUAAACACACCGCCUGGGGAGUACGACCGCAAGGUUAAAACUCAAAUGAAUUGAC